This 54-nucleotide non-coding RNA is filed under the name Gloeochaete wittrockiana. Lineage: Eukaryota; Glaucocystophyceae; Gloeochaetales; Gloeochaetaceae. The record is from RNAcentral.
AGAAGCAUGCCUAUGUAUGUCCUUUUUUUUUUCUUUUUUUUUUUUUUUGGAUUU